GUUGCGUUGCCACGGCAGCGCGGUUGGCCGGCCGCUGGUUCUUGCGUUCCGGGUGGUGGUGGGGCUGGAGCAGGCUUGGAUCCGCCGUUCCCGGGUUAGGUGAGCUUUCCGGAGCUUCAGUAAGGCCGCGGCUGUUCGCGGCGAGAGCAGGGGCUGCGCCGGGCUCUGGCGGCCAGGCCUGCCCGGGGCUACGGCGUCGGGGCCCGGGCCGUGUGUCGCAGCCCUCCUGUGGUCCCGCUGCCCUCGUGAGAGCAGAGGCCCAGACCCCUUCCCGUGGUUCCCGCUUCUGCAGCGCGAUUAUUUCACUAAAACAACUUUGAUUUUUAAAGUUUGUAAAGAGCUCUCGUCUGUGUGAUCGGGGCUUCGCUGACUUUGCAGCCGACCUAAGCCCCUGGGCUUGGGCCCAGGAGAGGUUGAAUGGGGACCUAAGAAAGGAAUUGGUUCAUUCGACAGACGUUUUCUGAGCAGCUGCUGCGUGCAAGGCACGGUGCCGGCGCGGGACCUGUGCCCAGAGCUUGAGAAAUGAGAAGCAGAGUCAUUGAUUCCAGGUAAAUCAGAGGAACAAACAUCAUACAGAAAUAUACAGGACAGUAACAUACAGGAAGCGAUGUGAUGUCGAAGCUUAACUGUUGUUUCAAAAGUCCAGCAUCUGGUGCACCUAACAGUAGGGGCUAUAUUAUUUGCGAAGUCACAUAACUUUUACUCAUACUUAUGUUCUGAUCCCACAUGCCGCGGAGCAACUAAGCCCGUGUGCCACAACUACUGAGCCUGCACUCUAGAGCCCGCAAGCCACAACUACUGAAGCCCGCGCGCCUACAGCCCAUGCUCCGCAACAAGAGAAGCCACCGCGAUGAGAAGCCCGUGCACAGCAACAAAAACCCAACUCAGCCAAAAAUAAAAAUAAAUAAAUUUAUUUAUUUAAAAAAAGAAUGAACCAGAAGUAAAAAAAGAAAGAUUGUUAAUAACAUCUUUUUGACAGACUUGAGCACUUUGGGUUCCUCUUUUUACCUUCACAAGCACUUCUUAAAUCUUAACUGUGGAAUCGUAGCAAAGCCAGCAAGUCCCACAGAAAAUUAAAUAUUCCUGAAUUAUCUCCAGGGUAUGUAUGUAUUGGAUCCAGAUGUGAUUUUUAUGCUUUGUGAAACUAAACUGACAACAAUUUCAAUGCAAAGCUCCAAUGAAACAAAUAACCCAUAGCUUUUCACUUCUGAAAGUUUCAUUCUCUUUUGUCCCCAUGCUGCUUUUUCUCAGUGAGGCCUGAAGUCUCUGGCUAUAUAUAGGCUUUUAAACUCAGACAUCUGCUGGACUUUGUUCUAUUGAGAACUUUAUUUCGAGGGAAAGAACCCAAGUCAUAUCUCCUGUCAGGUAAUACUAAGAAUUAAGUGGUAAUCAUAAAACAUGUUAAGACUUAAGUAAAGGUGAUAAAAGAAUUGU
Molecule: long non-coding RNA, 1434 nt
Filed under: Phocoena sinus (vaquita)
Lineage: Eukaryota; Metazoa; Chordata; Mammalia; Artiodactyla; Phocoenidae
Description: lncRNA (ENSPSNG00000003114.1)
Source: RNAcentral